RNAcentral lists this ribosomal RNA (715 nucleotides) under Labeo chrysophekadion (black sharkminnow). RNAcentral describes it as "partial 16S ribosomal RNA". The stretch from base 309 to 715 matches the Rfam family "Bacterial large subunit ribosomal RNA", at positions 568 to 1136 of the family's 2925-position model. The record is from RNAcentral. Lineage: Eukaryota; Metazoa; Chordata; Actinopteri; Cypriniformes; Cyprinidae.
CAAGUCGUAACACGGUAAGUGUACCGGAAGGUGCACUUGGAUCAAACCCAGGGUGUGGCUGAGUUAGUUAAGCAUCUCACUUACACCGAGAAGACAUCCAUGCAAGUUGGAUCACCCUGAGCCAAACAGCUAGCUUACCCACCAAAAUUAACCAAACAGUAUAAAUAAAAUAAAAUGGACAAAACACCAAAAACUAAACCAUUCUUUUACCUGAGUAUGGGAGACAGAAAAGGUUCAACCAAAGCAAUAGAAACAGUACCGCAAGGGAAAGCUGAAAGAGAAAUGAAACAACCCAUAUAAGCACAAAAAAGCAAAGAUUAAAUCUUGUACCUUUUGCAUCAUGAUUUAGCCAGUAAACCCAAGCAAAGAGACCUUUAGUUUGAAACCCCGAAACCAGGUGAGCUACCCCGAGACAGCCUAUUUAGGGCCAACCCGUCUCUGUGGCAAAAGAGUGGGAAGAGCUCCGGGUAGAAGUGACAGACCUACCGAACCUGGUGAUAGCUGGUUGCCUAGGAAACGAAUAGAAGUUCAGCCUCGUACACCUUAAAUCAAACAGACACAUAAACAAGAUAUCAAGAGAAAUACACGAGAGUUAGUUAAAGGGGGUACAGCCCCUUUAACAAAGGAUACAACCUUAUCAGGAGGAUAAAGAUCAUAAUAUAUAAAACAUACUGUUCUAGUGGGCCUAAAAGCAGCCAUCUAAACAGAAAGCGUA